RNAcentral lists this ribosomal RNA (490 nucleotides) under uncultured bacterium. RNAcentral describes it as "partial 16S ribosomal RNA". It matches the Rfam family "Bacterial small subunit ribosomal RNA", at positions 28 to 507 of the family's 1533-position model. The record is from RNAcentral.
GAUGAACGCUAGCUACAGGCUUAACACAUGCAAGUCGCGGGGCAGCAUGGGGGUUGCUUGCACUCCCCGAUGGCGACCGGCGCACGGGUGAGUAACGCGUAUCCAACCUGCCCUUCACCACGGGAUAACCCGGCGAAAGUCGGACUAAUACCGUAUGUUGUCCAUUGACGGCCUCCGAUUUGGACGAAGCGUUUGGCGGUGAAGGAUGGGGAUGCGUCCGAUUAGCUGGACGGCGGGGUGACGGCCCACCGUGGCGACGAUCGGUAGGGGUUCUGAGAGGAAGGUCCCCCACACUGGAACUGAGACACGGUCCAGACUCCUACGGGAGGCAGCAGUGAGGAAUAUUGAUCAAUGGGCGUAAGCCUGAACCAGCCAAGUAGCGUGCAGGAUGACGGCCCUAUGGGUUGUAAACUGCUUUUAUGCGGGGAUAAAGUGGCCCACGUGUGGGUUUUUGCAGGUACCGCAUGAAUAAGGACCGGCUAAUUCCGUG